CUGCCACUGAUGAGUCCCAUAAUAGGACGAAACGGACGUCCUGUGU
Schistosoma rodhaini is the source of this 46-nucleotide non-coding RNA. Lineage: Eukaryota; Metazoa; Platyhelminthes; Trematoda; Strigeidida; Schistosomatidae. The record is from Rfam.